UGGAGAAUUUGGAAAAUCCAAUAAAAACAUCUCAAAGGUUCAGAUCAUAUUCUUGAAAAGGAGAGGAAAAAAAAAUAUGAUAAUAAUAAUAUGAAAUAUGAUAUCAACUCUUCAUGAAAAGGAGACAACAUAUCCAACAGCACUAUGGCAGUCUUCUGUUACUAAUCUUUACGCGUUGACGGACAAGAAAACCGUAUGUAUGAGAAGCAUCAUAUGAUCAAUGUAGUUACCCAGUGGCUUACUAGCAGCAUCACCAAAUUAAUGGCAAAAUUGGCUACAUUCUUGUAAGAUAAAUUGGCAUGUACUACAAUAGAAGAGCUCAACUUUCUUGGUACAUAUAUAAGUGAUCUAUGCUAAUGUAGAGAAGUAAGAUAAACCUGUGAAGAUACUAGCUGCGGGUGGUCCAACUUGGACCAGCAAGAAAUGCAAAUGAGGACUCCCAACUAUCAUGGACUUCCUGAAAGUAAUCUUAACAUAGAAAGCAAAUUGAUAAGGCACCUAUUGCCAUAUUAAAAUUGUACAACUGAACCAAUCAUAUAAACAAGGACAGCUCAUAAUUCAUUAUUGUUAUCAUAGGGUGUACAAUAUCACAGUAAAUAUUACUAAAGCUCACUGGUUGAUCAUUUUCUGCUUUAGAAUAAAACCCACACAUAGAAGGAAAAAAAGCAGAAAACAUAAGCAUUAAAAAAAAAAAAUCUUACUAAAAUCACAAAGCAUGCAAAAGAAAAGAUACAGCAGGUUAAAAGAAAUUUGAAAGACUUCACUAAAGACUAAUCUGUUUUGUUCCUUUAGUUUAAAACUCAGGUCUUCUGGAUCUUGAAGUUAUAUGAACUAUCAGAUUUCUCCCAAAAAGAAAAAGAGUAUUUAACCUAUCCAAAUACUAAAAUACUCAUAUCUGCUGUCCAGUUUUCCCCAGGUCAUUGACAACCAUGUAUCAUAUACAAGGGAACCUACAAGUAGAAAAACAAAAAAGAGAAGAAUUCUAACAUAGGAUGUUAGGUAAAAUUAAAUUAUAUGAUUUAGCUCAUGAUUACCUGUUUUCUUACCGCUGAUAUGGCUAGAAUAAUCUUGAUUAAAAAAUAUUUCCAAAUUUAUCAAGUUUAGGAUAUCAAGAGGAAAAAGGGGAGAAUUUAGAAGGAGAAAAAGACCUAGCUGGAGCUCUUUCUCCAAGGCCUCAAUCAAGCCUUCCACUUCUGCUCCUCAAUGAACCUCAUCACCACCACCUCCUCAAUCACCAUAUAUGAGGAUCCUACAUUGGUCUUGCAAUAGGGAGUCUCAUGUACUUAUACCAGGCCAAGGAACCCACUACCGUCCGGCUCUAGAAAAUUUGUAUCUCAUAAGAACUUGGAAAAUUGUAUUGGCUCUAGAAGCUCUCCCACAAAAGAGGCCUUAGUUGUACUCUUUUGCCAUCAAGUGAUAAUCAAUAAAGUUUUUAAAGUUCUUCAUCAAUUCAUUGAUUGGAGCGAUUCCCUUCUUGCCAUGGUGUGAGACCAUGAUCCUGUGAGAGAUGAUUGGUACAAGGAUGAAUUCUUUGAGCAUUCCGCAGAGAGGUUGAAGGUGAAAGGGUGAAGACUCUCAAGGAGGUUGGUGCGAGGUCAACAGUAAAACCUUGCUUCCACAUAUUCCAUAUUCUCGUGCAGGCUUGCCUGCAUCAGUUUUCGUAUCAAAGCAAAAAAAAAUAUGAACCUCAUUGUUUUAUCGUUCUCGCAUACCCCUUUAUAGCUUUCCUUCACCACCCUAUCUGUAUGAUCAACAGUCCUCUUCUGCUUCAUCCCAGAAAAGAAAUAAUGAUUGCUCCAAAGGUUUCCAAUCCCAAUCCCAAUCCUAAUCACCCAAUACCUCCUUUGGACAACAUCCUUGUAGCUGUACUAUCCAAUAUGAGGCUUAAUCCAAGUUAGUUAGGAUGCGUUCGGACAACAUAUCCAAUACCAUUUGACCCUGAUUUCAAACUGUUUAAUAUUUAGGGCCACAAGAUCCAAGUUGGACCUGGUUUUCUAGCUAGGUUAAACCUGGGAUUCCGAGGUUAAGCCAAAGCUGACUUCUACUGCCUUUGGGAUUCUGCUCUAAUUCCAAAUAGACCAUUUCAAACCAAGCUUAUCCAAGAACAUUCAAAAGAUUUUCCGAGAAAGACCAUUUAGAGCUCUCUAAAGAGAUCAUGGAUCACCGACGAAUUGACUAUUGCCACAGCUUCGACACCGUUCCAAUUCACAACAUACCUAGCAUCGAAACCUUAUUUUCCCCGUCAAAAGUCUAGUCCACAGAAAUAAAAAGAAAUAAAAAGCAUGGAGGAAUACCCAUUAAAAUCCUAAGUCGAAAACCAAAAUUAUCUUUGAGUACGAUCUCGAGAAAGCGAGAAAUCUCAAGAAGAAGCACUAAGAACGACCCAAAAAGAAAAUGAGAAGGCCACGAACUCAUACCUCAAGAAGAAUCACCAAGAACGAUAACAAAAGAAAAGGAGAAGUCCAAGAACUCAUCCCUCAAGAGAGUCACCAAAAACGAUCAAAAAAGAGAAGGAGAAGGCCAAGAACUCAGACCUCAAUAAGAAGCACCAAGAACGAUCCAAAAAAAAACAGAGAAGGCCACGAACUCGUACCUUACCCCGAGCAAAGACGAAGAGCUUCGUAUGCGUAUCUUCUUCUCCAGCGAUGGACGGACGGAGGAGACCGAUCCGAUCGGGGCGUUGGUCGCGAAUGAAAAGCCUGGGAGCAUCGAGAUGGUCGGAAGGAAAAAAUAGAAACCCACAUUGUUUCG
RNAcentral lists this long non-coding RNA (2751 nucleotides) under Elaeis guineensis (African oil palm). RNAcentral describes it as "long non-coding RNA (EGUI_LNC000568)". The record is from RNAcentral. Lineage: Eukaryota; Viridiplantae; Streptophyta; Magnoliopsida; Arecales; Arecaceae.